GACGAACGCUGGCGGCGUGCCUAAUGCAUGCAAGUUGAGCGCUGAAGGUUGGUACUUGUACCAACUGGAUGAGCAGCGAACGGGUGAGUAACGCGUGGGGAAUCUGCCUUUGGGCGGGGGACAACAUUUGGAAACGAAUGCUAAUACCGCAUAAAAACUUUAAACACAAGUUUUAAGUUUGAAAGAUGCAAUUGCAUCACUCAAAGAUGAUCCCGCGUUGUAUUAGCUAGUUGGUGAGGUAAAGGCUCACCAAGGCGAUGAUACAUAGCCGACCUGAGAGGGUGAUCGGCCACAUUGGGACUGAGACACGGCCCAAACUCCUACGGGAGGCAGCAGUAGGGAAUCUUCGGCAAUGGACGAAAGUCUGACCGAGCAACGCCGCGUGAGUGAAGAAGGUUUUCGGAUCGUAAAACUCUGUUGGUAGAGAAGAACGUUGGUGAGAGUGGAAAGCUCAUCAAGUGACGGUAACUACCCAGAAAGGGACGGCUAACUACGUG
Molecule: ribosomal RNA, 497 nt
Filed under: uncultured bacterium
Lineage: Bacteria
Description: partial 16S ribosomal RNA
Rfam family: Bacterial small subunit ribosomal RNA
Source: RNAcentral